Mustela lutreola (European mink) is the source of this 1908-nucleotide RNA transcript. It is a transcript of the gene named proline-rich protein 2-like, with no coding region annotated. Lineage: Eukaryota; Metazoa; Chordata; Mammalia; Carnivora; Mustelidae. The record is from RefSeq and is a predicted model, not a curated record. The transcript is spliced from 2 exons.
AUGACACCCCCGAGCCGCUCAAUAAAGGAGAACCCGGGCAUGCUAACGGCCGUCCGUGCCUGCGGCGUCCGAGCCGGGGCGGCGGCAGGGCGGCGGCCGGCUCUGCGGGCCUCGCGGGGCGGGCCGGGCCCCCCAGACCGCUCCCACGGCAGGUGCCCCGUGCCCCCUUGGGCAACCUCCAGCCGGCCUCCCUGCGGCCCCGAGUCCUGGGGCGGCACCGCCCGCAGGGGCAGCACCGCCCGCAGGGGCAGAGCCGGGGUGGGGGGUUGGGGUCGGGCCCGCGAGCCCCCCCUCCUCCCGGGCCGGCCCCGCGGGGCUGAGCGCCCGCCAGCCGGACGCGGGGUGCACCGCAGCCCGGCCGCCUCGCCUCCGGGCACGGACCGGGUCUGUGCCGAACCGACCCCGAGAGGCCGCGCCUGGCUGCCGUCGGGCUCGCGUCCCCAGCGGCCUCCUCGGGGGCUCCCGUUGGGAACGAGCCCCGGCCCGCAUCUGGGGGAUCGGGUCUCGGCGGGGCCCGCGUCGCGCCGCACGGGUCUCCGGGAGGACACGUGCCCCCCGAGGACCCUGGGGCGUCGCGGCCGCGCAGCCGCAGUCCGUGCCGGGGGUCCCUGCGGGGCCCGACCACGCCGGGGGGCGGCAGGGCGCACGCGGCGGGCAGGCGGGGCGAAGCUGCCCCGAGGCGGAGCGCAGCAGCCGAAGCCCCGGCCGCCCGCCGCCCCCGACCCACGAAGUCGGUCGCACCGGAAGCACUCGGCCACGGCGCCGCGCGCGACGAUGCACUUCCGGCCUGAGGAGGCCGCUGUGCUCGCGACUCCCAGCAGGGGGCGCUGGGGGCCCGGGAACGCGGCGCUGGCCGUUAGCCCUCGAGCAUUCUGGGAGUCGCCGCGGUGCCUCUUCCUCCCCCCUCUUUUCUCUACUGAAUUCCGGCUCUUAGCGGGACGAAAGCCGUCGUUUCCGGGGAGGAAGGGCUCAGAAGAAAAGCGCGGGCGCAUGCGCAGGGGCCACGCUACCCGACGGGCCUUGGGAGUGGCGCCCCAGUGCCUUGUGGGAGAUGUAGUUCUCCGAGUGCGGACGCCGCCGGGCUGGGCCGGCGGAGGACUCGGUUUCCCAGAAGGCGGAGCGCAGCUCAAGAUGGAGCCGGCCUGGCCGCGGCGGUCCGGUAGGUUUGCGGCGAGGGAGUCCGGCGCGGACUAGCAGCGGCGCCUCUGGGAGGUCGCUGUCCGCAUCCUGCCCCGCCCGGAGCCGCCCCCGUAGUGCGGCGCGUCUCCGGCCCCUCGUGGGCUGGGCCCUGGGACCCCGAGGCUUGUGAAGCCUGGACGCUGUCCGGCCCAGGCCCCCGACCGAGCGGAGGAAGCCGGGGGCGCGCGUCCCGGGGCAGCCGGUGGUUCCGCCUGCCGGACGGGGCUCCGGCCGCCGAGCUCCCGAAGCUCGCGGAGAGCCCCGGGAAACGUCCUGAUGGCUCCUCCUGCCAUCGGGAUGGCGCAAGGCGCUGCCCCCUCGUCCCCCCGGCGCGGCCCGGCUCCGGCUGCUGCUGCUGGUCGCGGGGCCUUCCCGGCGGCGCGACUUCGGCGGGCAGGGGCUGGCUGCAGCUCCGGCUUCGCUCGCGGCGUGCUGCGCUCCGGCCCAUGGUCUCUCCCUCCCUGGAACACGUGGGGUGCUCCCGUUCCCUCGGGAGGUGCUCCCUCGCUUGGGGACUCGCGACCCAGAGCACUGGCGGUCUCGUCUGUGUUUGGUCAGCCGCGGGGCACCCGCGGCCGCGCCUGGCCCACCUGCCGGGUCCUUCGUGGGCGCUCCGCAGCGGGUCACCCUGGGCCAGGGCGGCUUGGUGGAUGGAUGGGUGAGGCCUGGCUGUCCCCUGAGCCCGGAAAGACAAGCCCGCUACAGCUGAGCCGCUGGACGGCGCCGGGA